UGUGUCUGUUGUUUGAGAACUCAAUAGUGUGCCAAGUUUGUUGAUACCGAUUAUGUAUGUAAUUGGUUGAUUGUGCUGUGCCGCCACCCCGUGGUGUGCAUGGUGUUUUUAGCUGGUUUCAAAUUUUGUGCAGCUGUUUCUGCCGUUAUUUCCGGUGGUUGUGGUUGUGUCUGUUUUUGUUUUACUUCAACGGAGAGUUUGAUCCUGGCUCAGGAUGAACGCUGGCGGCGUGCUUAACACAUGCAAGUCGAACGAUGAUGCCAGCUUGCUGGUGGAUUAGUGGCGAACGGGUGAGUAACACGUGAGUAACCUGCCCUUGACUCUGGGAUAAGCCUGGGAAACUGGGUCUAAUACCGGAUAUGACCUUCCAUCGCAUGGUGGUUGGUGGAAAGCUUUUGUGGUUUUGGAUGGACUCGCGGCCUAUCAGCUUGUUGGUGGGGUAAUGGCCUACCAAGGCGACGACGGGUAGCCGGCCUGAGAGGGUGACCGGCCACACUGGGACUGAGACACGGCCCAGACUCCUACGGGAGGCAGCAGUGGGGAAUAUUGCACAAUGGGCGAAAGCCUGAUGCAGCGACGCCGCGUGAGGGAUGACGGCCUUCGGGUUGUAAACCUCUUUCAGUAGGGAAGAAGCGUAAGUGACGGUACCUGCAGAAGAAGCGCCGGCUAACUACGUGCCAGCAGCCGCGGUAAUACGUAGGGCGCAAGCGUUAUCCGGAAUUAUUGGGCGUAAAGAGCUCGUAGGCGGUUUGUCGCGUCUGCCGUGAAAGUCCGGGGCUCAACUCCGGAUCUGCGGUGGGUACGGGCAGACUAGAGUGAUGUAGGGGAGACUGGAAUUCCUGGUGUAGCGGUGAAAUGCGCAGAUAUCAGGAGGAACACCGAUGGCGAAGGCAGGUCUCUGGGCAUUAACUGACGCUGAGGAGCGAAAGCAUGGGGAGCGAACAGGAUUAGAUACCCUGGUAGUCCAUGCCGUAAACGUUGGGCACUAGGUGUGGGGGACAUUCCACGUUUUCCGCGCCGUAGCUAACGCAUUAAGUGCCCCGCCUGGGGAGUACGGCCGCAAGGCUAAAACUCAAAGGAAUUGACGGGGGCCCGCACAAGCGGCGGAGCAUGCGGAUUAAUUCGAUGCAACGCGAAGAACCUUACCAAGGCUUGACAUGAACCGGACCGCUGCAGAAAUGUGGUUUCCCCUUUGGGGCUGGUUUACAGGUGGUGCAUGGUUGUCGUCAGCUCGUGUCGUGAGAUGUUGGGUUAAGUCCCGCAACGAGCGCAACCCUCGUUCUAUGUUGCCAGCACGUGAUGGUGGGGACUCAUAGGAGACUGCCGGGGUCAACUCGGAGGAAGGUGGGGACGACGUCAAAUCAUCAUGCCCCUUAUGUCUUGGGCUUCACGCAUGCUACAAUGGCCGGUACAAAGGGUUGCGAUACUGUGAGGUGGAGCUAAUCCCAAAAAGCCGGUCUCAGUUCGGAUUGGGGUCUGCAACUCGACCCCAUGAAGUCGGAGUCGCUAGUAAUCGCAGAUCAGCAACGCUGCGGUGAAUACGUUCCCGGGCCUUGUACACACCGCCCGUCAAGUCACGAAAGUUGGUAACACCCGAAGCCGGUGGCCUAACCCCUUGUGGGAGGGAGCUGUCGAAGGUGGGACUGGCGAUUGGGACUAAGUCGUAACAAGGUAGCCGUACCGGAAGGUGCGGCUGGAUCACCUCCUUUCU
RNAcentral lists this ribosomal RNA (1711 nucleotides) under Arthrobacter sp. AG367. RNAcentral's name for it is "bacterial SSU rRNA". The stretch from base 187 to 1709 matches the Rfam family "Bacterial small subunit ribosomal RNA". Lineage: Bacteria; Bacillati; Actinomycetota; Actinomycetes; Micrococcales; Micrococcaceae. The record is from RNAcentral.